GUCCCCGUAGCUCAGCUGGAUAGAGCACCAGAUUCCUAAUCUGGGGGUCGUGGGUUCAAAUCCCGCCGGGGACGCCA
RNAcentral lists this transfer RNA (77 nucleotides) under Rhodospirillaceae bacterium. RNAcentral's name for it is "tRNA-Arg". It matches the Rfam family "tRNA". From Rfam's summary of the family: Transfer RNA (tRNA) molecules are approximately 80 nucleotides in length. Their secondary structure includes four short double-helical elements and three loops (D, anti-codon, and T loops). Further hydrogen bonds mediate the characteristic L-shaped molecular structure. tRNAs have two regions of fundamental functional importance: the anti-codon, which is responsible for specific mRNA codon recognition, and the 3' end, to which the tRNAs corresponding amino acid is attached (by aminoacyl-tRNA synthetases). tRNAs cope with the degeneracy of the genetic code in two manners: having more than one tRNA (with a specific anti-codon) for a particular amino acid; and 'wobble' base-pairing, i.e. permitting non-standard base-pairing at the 3rd anti-codon position. Lineage: Bacteria; Pseudomonadati; Pseudomonadota; Alphaproteobacteria; Rhodospirillales; Rhodospirillaceae. The record is from RNAcentral.